UUUGACGAAGCAUCGCCUAAUACAACCUAUGAAAUCAGACCAAACAAAUUAAUGAAAUUCCACCCUAUUCAACGUUGUGCAGGCCUUAAAGCAAAAGAAACUGUUCAUUUUGGACUAUCACGACCUUUUCCUACCGUUCGUGAACAAAGUGAGGCAGCUCAAGGGGACGACCCUAUACGGGUCGAGGACCCUCUUCUUCUUGACCCCCGACGGGACGUUGAAGCCCCUCGCCAUUGAGCUCACACGGCCACUGUCCGACGACGGCGGGAAGCCACAAUGGAAGCAGGUGUUCACCCCGUCGUGGCACUCCACCGGCAAGUGGCUCUGGCGGCUCGCCAAAGCCCAUGUCCUCGCCCACGACUCUGGAUACCACCAGCUCGUCAGCCACUGGUAACAAAACAAGCCGGUCAUUACAUCUCGACGAGCAGGAAAAAAAAAAAGAGGUAUAGAUCUGAGAAAUGCUAAUUGCUUCGUUCGUCGCAGGUUGCGGACUCAUUCUGCCACGGAACCUUACAUAAUAGCGGCGAACCGGCAACUGAGCGCGAUGCACCCGAUCUACAAGCUGUUGCACCCGCACUUCCGAUACACGAUGGAGAUCAAUGGUCUGGCCCGUGGGUUUCUCAUCAACGGCGAAGGCAUCAUCGAGAGCUCCUUCUCUCU
Molecule: long non-coding RNA, 660 nt
Filed under: Eucalyptus grandis
Lineage: Eukaryota; Viridiplantae; Streptophyta; Magnoliopsida; Myrtales; Myrtaceae
Description: long non-coding RNA (EGRA_LNC005860)
Source: RNAcentral